UCCUCCGGGGGGCAGCAGUAGGGGAUAUUUUGCAACAGGGGAAAAUCCCACGGACCAACACCGCGUGAGUGAUGAAGACUUUCUGGUGGUAUAAAUCUUUKUUAGGGGGAACAAGUGAUAGUUGAAAAACCUGGCACCUUGACGGUGCCCAACCAGAAAACCCCGGGUAAAUUCGUGCCACCACCCCCGGUAAAACGUAGGGGGCAAACGUUUUCCGGAAUUUUUGGGGGUAAAACGCGCGCAGGGGGUUUUUUAAAUUUGAUGUGAAAACCCCCGGCUCACCCCUGGAGGGUCAUUGGAAACUGGGAGACUUGAGUGCAGAAGAGGGAAGGGGAAUUCCAUGUGUAGCGGUGAAAUGCGUAGAGAUAUGGAGGAACCCCAGUGGGGAAGGGGCCUUUCCGGUCUGUAACUGACCCUGAGGCGCGAAAACGUGGGGAGCAAACAGGAUUAGAUACCCCGGUAGUCCCCCCCGUAAACGAUGAGUGUUAAGUUUAGAGGUCUCCCCCUUUAGUGCUGCAGUUAACGCAUAACAUUCCGCCUGGA
This 543-nucleotide ribosomal RNA is filed under the name Bacillus albus. Its description in RNAcentral is "partial 16S ribosomal RNA". The record is from RNAcentral. Lineage: Bacteria; Bacillati; Bacillota; Bacilli; Caryophanales; Bacillaceae.